GCAGUCGAGCGAGCUUGCCUAGAUGAUUUUAGUGCUUGCACUAAAUGAAACUAGAUACAAGCGAGCGGCGGACGGGUGAGUAACACGUGGGUAACCUGCCCAAGAGACUGGGAUAACACCUGGAAACAGAUGCUAAUACCGGAUAACAACACUAGACGCAUGUCUAGAGUUUGAAAGAUGGUUCUGCUAUCACUCUUGGAUGGACCUGCGGUGCAUUAGCUAGUUGGUAAGGUAACGGCUUACCAAGGCAAUGAUGCAUAGCCGAGUUGAGAGACUGAUCGGCCACAUUGGGACUGAGACACGGCCCAAACUCCUACGGGAGGCAGCAGUAGGGAAUCUUCCACAAUGGACGAAAGUCUGAUGGAGCAACGCCGCGUGAGUGAAGAAGGGUUUCGGCUCGUAAAGCUCUGUUGGUAGUGAAGAAAGAUAGAGGUAGUAACUGGCCUUUAUUUGACGGUAAUUACUUAGAAAGUCACGGCUAACUACGUGCCAGCAGCCGCGGUAAUACGUAGGUGGCAAGCGUUGUCCGGAUUUAUUGGGCGUAAAGCGAGUGCAGGCGGUUCAAUAAGUCUGAUGUGAAAGCCUUCGGCUCAACCGGAGAAUUGCAUCAGAAACUGUUGAACUUGAGUGCAGAAGAGGAGAGUGGAACUCCAUGUGUAGCGG
This 663-nucleotide ribosomal RNA is filed under the name Lactobacillus gasseri. RNAcentral describes it as "bacterial SSU rRNA". It matches the Rfam family "Bacterial small subunit ribosomal RNA", at positions 57 to 681 of the family's 1533-position model. Lineage: Bacteria; Bacillati; Bacillota; Bacilli; Lactobacillales; Lactobacillaceae. The record is from RNAcentral.